Molecule: long non-coding RNA, 1289 nt
Filed under: Capra hircus (goat)
Lineage: Eukaryota; Metazoa; Chordata; Mammalia; Artiodactyla; Bovidae
Description: lncRNA (ENSCHIG00010008796.1)
Source: RNAcentral
AAAAUUUGCACUAUUACACUUAAAAGUUGUUAUCCUUUUUGGCAGCUCAAUAGGAAAGCUCAACAUUUUAAACAUGGUAGUACUGGAAAUUUUAUGACAAGACUUUUACCUAGCACUUAAAUAUGUAUAAAUGUAUAUAAGACAAACUAGUAAGCAUGACCUGGGGAAAUGGUCAGACCUUGUAUUGUGUUUUUGGCCUUGAAAGUAGCAAGUGACCAGAAUCUGCCUUGGCAACAGGCUUAAAAAAAAAAAAAAGACCCUUAAAAAGACACUGUCUCAACUGUGGUGUUAGCACCAGCCAGCUCUCUGUACAUUUGCUAGCUUGUAGUUUUCUAAGACUGAGUAAACUUCUUAUUUUUAGAAAGUGGAGGUCUGGUUUGUGACUCUCCUUGUACUUAAUUGGGUAAAAGUCUUUUCCACAAACCACCAUCUAUUUUGUGAACUUUGUUAGUCAUCUUUUAUUUGGUAAAUUAUGAACUGGUGUAAAUCAUGUUGUGUAACAUUUGCCACAAUAGCUAAGUAUUUUAUCUCAUCUGUUAUUAUUACCUUAAGAAAAAUUUCUUGUAAUGGGAGUCUUAAUUAUAAGGCAAUUUUAAAAUAUUUGAAAUAGAUUUUGAAAUUGUGUUCUGGAGAAGGUAUAUGAAUUUGUACUCUUGAAUUAUAUAGUAUGAAAGAGUCUGUGUUCUCACAGCCUCAGAACUUUUUUAACUCUGAAAUUUUUUUGCAAACAUAAUAACAAGUCCAUAGUGUUUUGGUUUGUCAUUAUUUUAAUGACUAUUUCCCCACAUUUAUUUUUUAAACUUAUGUAGAUACUUUAGAUUUUGAAUCUUAAACUGUAAUUUUUUUUCUGCAUGAUUUGCACAUGUGGACAUAUGCUUAGAAAGAGAUUUUGUAUAUAAAGUAUUAUCUAAAAAUGAGCCUCCAUUUUCAUGUAUGUUUCUUUUUUUUUAAAUUAUUAAUUUUAGUUGCAGUUGUAAGAUAUUCAGUUUAUUUUUGACAAGUUUUGUAAGCUGUAUCAAUACCCAUUUAUGGGCAAAUUUAUUAUUUCUAUACUGAUUUGAUAAUGGCCCUUAGACUUCUAAUCUGUCUCUCUCCCUUCCCUCUAAUGCAUUCUACUACAUUCUUUUUUGUAAAAAUUGAUUUUUACUGGAAGAUAGUUGUUUUACAAUGUUCUUUUAGUUUCUACUGUACAACAAAAUGAAUCAGUCAUAUGUUUAUAUAUAAGCAUAUAUAUAUCCCCUCCCAUUUUGACUUCCUUCCAAUUCAGAUCAUCACAUUGCAUUAAGUAG